This is a non-coding RNA of Mycena leptocephala, 93 nucleotides long. The record is from the annotation of a GenBank genome assembly. Lineage: Eukaryota; Fungi; Basidiomycota; Agaricomycetes; Agaricales; Mycenaceae.
GCACCGGUGGUGUCUGGGACACACCGCUAUCGCGUCCGAAAGUCCGAAGAAUGAUAUAGCCGGCGGUACGGGGUUUGAUUCCCUGCCGGUGCA